CUUAAGCAUAUCAAUAAGCGGAGGAAAAGAAACCAACAGGGAUUGCCUCAGUAACGGCGAGUGAAGCGGCAACAGCUCAAAUUUGAAAUCUGACCCCUUCGGGGCCCGAGUUGUAAUUUGUAGAGGAUGCUUCGGGUGCGGCGCCGGUCUAAGUUCCUUGGAACAGGACGUCAUAGAGGGUGAGAAUCCCGUAUGCGACCGGCGGUCAACCCCAUGUGAAGCCCCUUCGACGAGUCGAGUUGUUUGGGAAUGCAGCUCAAAAUGGGUGGUAAAUUUCAUCUAAAGCUAAAUACCGGCCAGAGACCGAUAGCGCACAAGUAGAGUGAUCGAAAGAUGAAAAGCACUUUGGAAAGAGAGUCAAACAGUACGUGAAAUUGUUGAAAGGGAAGCGCUUGCAACCAGACCUGCCCCCGGGCGAUCAGCCGUUAUUUUUAGCGGUGCACUCGUCCGCGAUCAGGCCAGCAUCGGUUCGGGCGGCCGGAUAAAGGCCUCGGGAAUGUAGCUCCCCCCGGGGAGUCUUAUAGCCCGAGGUGCAAUGCGGCCAGCCCGGACCGAGGACCGCGCUUCGGCUAGGAUGCUGGCGUAAUGGUUGUAAGCGACCCGUCUUGAAACACGGACC
Molecule: ribosomal RNA, 619 nt
Filed under: Porpidia melinodes
Lineage: Eukaryota; Fungi; Ascomycota; Lecanoromycetes; Lecideales; Lecideaceae
Description: LSU rRNA
Rfam family: Eukaryotic large subunit ribosomal RNA
Source: RNAcentral